UCUCAGGUAGCAUAAUUGUUAAUGUGCUAGGUUUAAGCCCUAGAGAUAAGAGUUAUAUCUUUUUGAGAA
RNAcentral lists this transfer RNA (69 nucleotides) under Loripes lacteus. Its description in RNAcentral is "tRNA-Leu". It matches the Rfam family "tRNA". From Rfam's summary of the family: Transfer RNA (tRNA) molecules are approximately 80 nucleotides in length. Lineage: Eukaryota; Metazoa; Mollusca; Bivalvia; Lucinida; Lucinidae. The record is from RNAcentral.